CACGUACCGUUAGCCGGUGCUUCUUAUCUAGGUACCGUCACAAAAAGCUUCGUCCCUAGCGAAAGGAGUUUACAACCCGAAGGCCUUCAUCCCCCACGCGGCGUCGCUGCAUCAGGCUUGCGCCCAUUGUGCAAUAUUCCCCACUGCUGCCUCCCGUAGGAGUCUGGGCCGUAUCUCAGUCCCAAUGUGGCCGUACACCCUCUCAGGCCGGCUACCCGUCGCCGCCUUGGUAGGCCAUUACCCCACCAACAAGCUGAUAGGCCGCGAGCUCAUCCUACACCGAAAAAACUUUCCAACCACCACACUAAAGAUGGCUCCUAUCCGGUAUUAGACCCAGUUUCCCAAGCUUAUCCCGAAGUGCAGGGCAGAUCACCCACGUGUUACUCACCCGUUCGCCACUCGAGUACCCUGCAAGCAGGGCCUUUCCGUUCGACUUGCAUGUGUUAAGCACGCCGCCAGCGUUCUCCUGAGCCAGGAUCCAAACUCCU
Molecule: ribosomal RNA, 488 nt
Filed under: uncultured Corynebacterium sp.
Lineage: Bacteria; Bacillati; Actinomycetota; Actinomycetes; Mycobacteriales; Corynebacteriaceae
Description: partial 16S ribosomal RNA
Source: RNAcentral